CCAAUCACUAUGGUUUGUGUCCUAACAGGUUCUUUCAUUGAGUUCUUAGUGAAAUAUUCCCCAUCUCCAGCUGAGAAAGCAAAAUUUGGAGGAAUGUUUGGUGGAAUCAUAAUUAUGUUCAUCUUUUUUCUUAUAUUUCGGAUUUUCAACAUGUUGGCUUGGAUAAAAUAUUCAGAAGACAGUGAAAAAGUAGGGAAAAUCCUUUCCUACAUAACAAGAAUAACAGGAGUUACAUUUCUGGUCAUCAUGGCUUCAUCCAUCAUUGCUGUCAGUGUUUAUCUGGCAAAAUACUCAGCUCUAGCCUGGAAAGAACAACUUGCAACAUUUUCCACUUUCCUAGUCAUCAUGGUUUUAUUCCCAG
Paramormyrops kingsleyae is the source of this 361-nucleotide non-coding RNA. The record is from RefSeq and is a predicted model, not a curated record. NCBI's taxonomy places the organism in Eukaryota, Metazoa, Chordata, Actinopteri, Osteoglossiformes, Mormyridae.